CCAUAUCCACAGUACAUGGAAGUUCCUGGCCCAGGGAACAAACUCACAUGGCAUGCCACUGUUCUAUUUAUGCUAUUUAUAAUUUAUUCCAUGAAUCAAAAUAUAGGCACUGGACAUCUACUGAGUUAACGUAGCUAUACUAUUUAUUCUAGGAAAUAGAUAAAAUACAUGUAUUUUCCUAUCUAUCUAGGAGAGAAAGUCAUGCAUAUUCAGAAAAGGGGAAGCUUCUUUCCAGGUAAGAAAGUCAGAGAUAAAACUGUGGAGAAGGUGGACUCGACCUACCCGCUUGAGGAUGAUUUGCACUUUGAAGCAAAUGCUUGGCUUUCAUUCUUUUCCUGCUCCUGACCCUUCUCUUCUUCCCUGUCCUCUCCCUCCUCUCCUCAUCCCCCUCCUCCAAAUUCCUGCUUCUUGCCUGACUCUUGGAGGAGAGGAGGGUGAAGAAGACAGCAUAUACCUUAUCUAUGACCAAACACCCGUGUCCACGGCAGGCUACCUGCUUCUCCGUCAUUGUCGCUACUUGUCUAUGAUGCCUCUGAAAGCAGAGGCAAUAUUUCUUUCACCCAUGGCUCUUACCACUAUGCACAAUGCCGAACACAUGACCAUGACAAGCCCACAAUAAACAACACGAUGAUGCUAACGAAGGGCGAGAGAAUUCGAGCCCGGGCGGCGCGGUGAAGAAUGCAGUCACGAGCUAGAAUGAAACAGUCUGAAAUCAGGAAAGAGUGCUUUCACAUUAUGUCAUAAGGACUCCAUAAAUCAUGCUGCAUUUAUAAGAAUUCAGACAGGCUACCAGGGGUUCUGGAGCCCCUCCGCCCCCUGGGAUAGUGAAUUGUACGGUAUUGGCAUUGUUUCUUCCCAUCUGUGUCAUUUCGCCUAUCUCAAUAUUGUGUGUUAUUACCAAACAUAAUUAUACAAUAUCCGUGAAGUCUGGAAGAUACUGAAAGAUAAAAUCAUCCAAAUAGUUAUAAUUUAUUACAGGUUAGGAUGGAGAUUCACUACAAGUCAUGGUUAAGGUUUAAGCGCAUGGAAGUUGAAAUAAGACAGACUGCAAUUUUCCUUGUUCUAUCAGCUACUGUCAAUUUACUGUUAUUUAAGCCUCGAUUUUCUCAUUUGUAAAAUGGGGUUAAAAUAGCACCUACUGCAUAAUUUUCUGGCUGGUGUGAAUGGAGGUAAUAUAUGCAAAUCCUUAUCUAACCCCGUAAAAAAGACAAGUUCUUUCCAUUAAAGCAGAGGUAGCCAGCUACGGGCUGGGCUCUCUGUGUCACUGUAAUUCACGAGGCGCUUUACACACACCAGUCUUACCAUCCCCACUACCUACCUUAGGUGCGCAGAAUUUGAGGAAGAUACGAGGUCUAUAAUUACAGGGGAAAAAAACACUUACUGCAUAGAGAUGGUUAACUAAUGUUGUCGAUAUAAGGUUGAUAAGAUCCUGUCUUUUAUAGCCAUUUUUCAACAGUCCUCCUGGAGAAGGAGGCAUAGAAGCAGGGGGGAAGGGCUCACUGAUAAAUUAAGUCUGUUUUACAUUCUUCCUGUUGUUGCCGUCACUAGACAGUCAUAAUAUACCUGGCAAAAGAUGCUCAUCAGGGGCUAGUGCAAUAGCAGAUGGUCAGAGCAGAACCUGGGUUUACAGUUCCCGACCCUCUGUAUUGAAACACCAGCUACACAUGAAGGUGACAUUGUCUGAUGUACGUUCUAUUACUUUACAUCGAAGCAUCCCUCCUUCCAACAAGGAGGCGCUCUGAGGUGGGAUAUUGUCAGAGCACCAAAACGUGACACACACACCCCCAAUUGUUCAUUAAUCAUCUCUUAUUACUGGGCUUUUCCUUGUUUUAUCAUUAGAGAACACAUGGAAAUCCACAGACAUGUAGGAGUUUGCAAGAGGUAGGACAUAAGAUGCCAAGCGCUAGGGCAUUCAUUCAUUAUACAGCUAGUCUGCAGCAUUUGCCUGUGAGGCUCUCAGAAUUGAAUGGGGCUAUAAAAUUUCAAAACAAAACAACAACACAAACACCACAAACCACCAGAACACUUCCUGAUUGAUGAUGGGCUAAGUGGUAGGAAUAAGCUACCGUAAGACCUUAAAGGAGAGUGACAUACAUUCUAAUUGGACACAGAACACACAUCUUUGACCAGAAACAGUACAGUAGGGAAUUAUCCAAUUAGUACUUCAAUAAUUUAAGCUUGAGUGUUUUGAAACCUACAAGCACAUCCCCUCCAAAAUGAAAUAUUUAUUUGAAAUUUAAAUUUGACACCGCUUCAUUUUUUUUCUUGGGAGUAAGUAGUCUCUGAUAAGAUGUGAUGGUGGUACGUGCAUUAUUUUAACAACAGCCCUUACAUCAAUUUGUAAGACGUCAAGUGAAUAAUCUGAACAAAUAAAAUCAGACCAUGUGACUUUAACUGGAAUUUAAAAGAUUUAAUGAACACAAGAUGUGAAAACUGAACAUUGUGCUUAAGGAAAAGUAUAUAAUCAAAAACUUUCCUUGUUCUGAUAUCAGUACACCAGGUGUAAUGGUUUACACCAGGCAGGCAGGACAAUAUAGAGAAGGCCCCAAGACUCAUGCUCCAUGGCUACUACAAUCUGGAAUUUUUGUUGCAAGAGUGUAACUCAAGUGAUUUCUAGACCUACCUAUACCUUCUCGGCUCAGUAAUUAGAAUCACCAGCCCCACAGCUUUUCAGAGAUUAUCACACGUCAUCCUCAGAACACAGUCUCUGGAGUAAGACUGUAGCUCUGGGACUUUUAGAAAGGCCCCUUAACCCUGUUACACUCAGUUUUCUCAGUCUAAACAGUGGGAAUCUUACUAAUGCUUUCUUCUUAGGAUUCUUGUAACAGUUCAAAUAACUAACCCAUUCAAAUCUCUCUCAGAAUGAUUUACACAUGUCGCAUAUUCCAUAAGUGUUACUGAUCAUUAUGUUAACAUACACAGUCAGGAGGAAUCCGGUUCAAAUUAGCCGAGUGGAUUGCCUAAGGGCAAAGGGCAAGAAAGGAAAUAAUGCAGGGCUUGAAAUGAGGCUGCUGUGAUUUGAAGCUGUAGACAGCAUUAGUAGCUAUGCUGUGCAGCCCCAAGUUCAAACAAGCCACUACGUACUCAGCCCCUACCAUAUGCUGAUAGUGCAUCAGCUCCCACAAUUCAGUGAUGAAUAAUGGGAAUAUUUUUACUCAUGAAAUUUAUUUUCUAAAUGAGAUUAAUACUAUAAACAAAAAAACAAAUAGUUGAAUUGGUUUCAGAUUGUAUUGAAUGCUAUAAAAAAAAAAUAGGUUUGUAAGAACAGAGAAAACAGGGGGAGUUUCUGUGGAUAGCAGAAUCAAGGAUGGCUUCUCCAAGAGGUGACAUUUGAUCUGGGACCUGAAAUACGAGAAGGCACCAACUAAGCAAACAGAAGAGGAAAGAACAUUUCAGAGAGAGGUCAGGAUAUUCAUGUGCCUGGACUUAGCUCUGGGAUGUAGCAUUCCAGAAGAGAGCAAUGGGUAAGAAAGUUCUCUCCUGCUGGUAGAGAGUGAAGAUGGCAGCUUACAUACCCGCCAGAGCAUCCGCGUUCUUGGGGUCUUUGUAAGAAGUCUGAAUUUUAUUUUAAAAGAGCUUACACGUCACUGAGCGAUUGAAGCAGAGACGUGCAGGGAUCUGGAUGGCCUUUGUGAGACUGGAUCGGAGAAGACCAAGAAGGAAGUCAUGAGGUCAGCUUAUUAUAGGGGAACACCACGAACUAGGAACUUUUAGGGGAGGUGGAAAGAAAGUCAUGGAUUUGAGAAAUGUUUGGGGUGGGAGGUAGAUAGAACUGACAACUCUUGGUGAUGACCAGCUAUUGGCUGAUGAAAAAGAGGCACUGAUUCUGUUUAGGUUGAGAAACUGGGUGGAGGAGGGGGGACUUACUCUGAGAAGGUCAGAGUGGGUAGAAAAAUCAAGAGCUUCAUUUUGAGCCUGUAAAUUUUAGACGCUUCUUUCUAGUUGAAGUGGUGAUUAGCGAAUGCAGGUGAAACUCUAUGUGUGCCAUCUCAGACACCAAGGAGCCAUCAACGAUGUCAGGCUUACCACGAAGACAGAGAAUAAGGAACAAGGGUAGGGUGCCAUGGAAAUUAGGGGCCACUUUGUACUGAGAGCGUUCAGUUUUCUUGUCCACAGAAAAGAAAGAUCCUUUGCUUUUGAACGCUAGCAAUUUCCUCAAAAGCCAAUCCUGUCACAGUAUGAAAUUGGUAACAUCACCUCAUACUGAAGACAAAAAUCCCAAAUUUCAGCUGCUUAAAUGGAAAUCUUUUUAAAAUGUUGUUCUAAAAAUGGCAUUUCAUUAUAACUUUAAGUUUCUAAAAUAUGGUCCACAAGUAAUCAUGGAUAUAAUUUCUUCAAAUACAUUUUAAUCUUGUGAAAAAGGCUUUUUUUAAAUAACCCUUUUUUAUUAAUCAUCGCAGAGCAAAAUGUGUGACUGCUGUUUCUGAAGUGUUCCAAACUCUACAUCUACAGAUUAAGAAAAAUUCUUAUACAAUUUUAUAAGUAUAAAUAUUGGGUUAAAUAAAUUUUAUAGUCAUGUUGGAGUGUCAUGAAAUUAAUAUUCACAGUCCAGAUUGCUACAGUUUAUACUUCUGUAUGUUUCAAAUCAGGUGAAUAAUACUGGUACCUAGAGCCCCACAGGAUGAAUUAUCCAACGUCCAUUGAUUUCCAUUUGAGUGUUGGUUUAUAAACAAAUAUUAGUAAUAUCUUACAAAUUUCUAGAAAUUAGUUGUAUCUAAGAAUUUACGUAUCUGUUUUUAGAUAUGUAUAAAUAUAAUUUAAGAAACAAAAAUUGAUAUUGAGUUAUUAAAUUUGCAGUUACUGAAAACUGUUUCAGUAAUUAUUGAUAGCCCUUAAUUAUUAAAGUGUACUUGUUAAAUACAUCUAAUUACUCUGUCCUAGUUCUUUUAUGUUGAAUAUAACUACGUCUAGAUAAUUGAAACUAGGAAGUGAUUAAAUGGUUUAUAUAGAAAGAUUUGUUGGAAUAGGGCUAGCAAAAGGACAAAAGAUCUCAUGAGUUCUGUGGAGAACUAGAUGUUAUAUUCUACACUUAUAUUUUCACCUAAUUUUUCCUAGGGAGUAAGGGGCAAAGAUGUUUAUGUUCUGUCAAACAUGACAAUACGGUGUUAUAAGAGGUAUGCAGAGCUGGCACAAAAACUCAUGGAAUUUAUUGAUGCUAUGAAAUUUAAAGAUGUGAUACUUUUGCCCUUGAGACAAGAAACAUUCAUUUAAUACAGGGUAAGUGUAAACAUAUUACUUUUUACACAAUUCAUAUUUUUUAAAUUGACAGCAUGCAAUUAAGACAUAUUUCUCUCUAUAUAUAUAGAAUCUAUUUUUUUUUUGUCUUUUUUUUUUUUGUUUUUUUUGGACCACACCCGUGGCAUGUGGAGGUUCCCAGGCUAGGGGUCAAAUCAGAGCCACAGCUGCCAGCCUAAGCCACAGCCACAGCAACACCAGAUCCGAACCACAUCUGCAACCUACACCAAGGCAAUGCCAGACCCUCAACCCACUGAGCGAGGGCAGGGAUUGAACCUGCAUCCUCAU
RNAcentral lists this long non-coding RNA (5523 nucleotides) under Sus scrofa (pig). Its description in RNAcentral is "lncRNA (ENSSSCG00055008949.1)". Lineage: Eukaryota; Metazoa; Chordata; Mammalia; Artiodactyla; Suidae. The record is from RNAcentral.